GACGAACGCUGGCGGCGUGCUUAACACAUGCAAGUCGAACGGAAAGGCCCUGCUUUUGUGGGGUGCUCGAGUGGCGAACGGGUGAGUAACACGUGAGUAACCUGCCCUUGACUUUGGGAUAACUUCAGGAAACUGGGGCUAAUACCGGAUAGGAGCUCCUGCUGCAUGGUGGGGGUUGGAAAGUUUCGGCGGUUGGGGAUGGACUCGCGGCUUAUCAGCUUGUUGGUGGGGUAGUGGCUUACCAAGGCCUUGACGGGUAGCCGGCCUGAGAGGGUGACCGGCCACAUUGGGACUGAGAUACGGCCCAGACUCCUACGGGAGGCAGCAGUGGGGAAUAUUGCACAAUGGGCGGAAGCCUGAUGCAGCAACGCCGCGUGCGGGAUGAAGGCCUUCGGGUUGUAAACCGCUUUCGCCUGUGACGAAGCGUGAGUGACGGUAAUGGGUAAAGAAGCACCGGCUAACUACGUG
Molecule: ribosomal RNA, 468 nt
Filed under: uncultured bacterium
Lineage: Bacteria
Description: partial 16S ribosomal RNA
Rfam family: Bacterial small subunit ribosomal RNA
Source: RNAcentral